AGUGGCGGACGGGUGAGUAACGCGUGGGUAACCUGCCUCACACAGGGGGAUAACAGUUGGAAACGACCGCUAAUACCGCAUAAGCCGGAAGGAUCGCAUGAUUCGGCCGGAAAAGAUUUAUCGGUGUGAGAUGGACCCGCGUCUGAUUAGCCAGUUGGCAGGGUAACGGCCUACCAAAGCGACGAUCAGUAGCCGGCCUGAGAGGGUGAACGGCCACAUUGGGACUGAGACACGGCCCAAACUCCUACGGAAGGCAGCAG
Molecule: ribosomal RNA, 260 nt
Filed under: uncultured bacterium
Lineage: Bacteria
Description: partial 16S ribosomal RNA
Rfam family: Bacterial small subunit ribosomal RNA
Source: RNAcentral